This 1185-nucleotide ribosomal RNA is filed under the name uncultured eukaryote. RNAcentral describes it as "bacterial SSU rRNA". It matches the Rfam family "Eukaryotic small subunit ribosomal RNA", at positions 1 to 1209 of the family's 1831-position model. The record is from RNAcentral.
AACCUGGUUGAUCCUGCCAGAUAGUCAUACGCUUGUCUUAAAGAUUAAGCCAUGCAUGUCUAAGUAUAAGCAACCUAUACUGUGAAACUGCGAAUGGCUCAUUAUAUCAGUUAUAGUUUAUUUGAUAGUCCCUUACUACUUGGAUAACCGUAGUAAUUCUAGAGCUAAUACAUGCGUGAAGUCCCGACUGCCUCGGCGGAAAGGAUGUAUUUAUUAGAUCGAUACCAGCCCGCUUGCGGUUCUUGGUGAAUCAUAAUAACUGAGCGAAUCGCAGCCUCGUGCAGCGAUGGUUCAUUCAAGUUUCUGCCCUAUCAGCUUUCGAUGGUAGGGUAUUGGCCUACCAUGGCGUUAACGGGUAACGGAGAAUUAGGGUUCGAUUCCGGAGAGGGAGCCUGAGAAACGGCUACCACAUCCAAGGAAGGCAGCAGGCGCGUAAAUUACCCAAUCGUAACUCACGGAGGUAGUGACGAAAAAUACUAAUACGGGGCUCUACGAGCUUUGUAAUUGGAAUGAGAACAAUUUAAAUCCCUUAACGAGGAUCAAUUGGAGGGCAAGUCUGGUGCCAGCAGCCGCGGUAAUUCCAGCUCCAAUAGCGUAUAUUAAAGUUGUUGCAGUUAAAAAGCUCGUAGUUGAAUUUCUGGGCGGCCCGCCGGUCUUCCAAGUGUUGUACUGGGCGGCGCCGGCCAUCCUUGUGGAGAGGGCUCGCAUUUGGUUGUGGGUCGGAUCUGCAUCAUUUACUGUGAAAAAAUUAGAGUGUUUAAAGCAGGCUGUCGCUUGAAUACAUUAGCAUGGAAUAAUAAGAUAGGACUUCGGUCUAUUUUGUUGGUUGCGAACCGAGGUAAUGAUUAAUAGGGAUAGUUGGGGGUAUUCAUAUUUAAUUGUCAGAGGUGAAAUUCUUGGAUUUAUGAAAGAUGAACAACUGCGAAAGCAUUUACCAAGGAUGUUUUCAUUAAUCAAGAACGAAAGUCAAGGGAUCGAAGAGGAUUAGAUACCCUCGUAGUCUUGACCAUAAACUAUGCCGACUCAGGAUUGGCAGGCGUUUUCUAACGACCCUGUCAGCACUGUAUGAAAAAUCAAAGUCUUUGGGUUCCGGGGGGAGUAUGGUCGCAAGGCUGAAACUUAAAGGAAUUGACGGAAGGGCACCACCAGGAGUGGAGCCUGCGGCUUAAUUUGACUCAACACGGG